CAGCAGCCGCGGGAAUACGAAGGGUGCAAGCGUUAAUCGGAAUUACUGGGCGUAAGGCGUGCGUAGGCGGUGAGUUAAGUCUGCUGUGAAAUCCCCGGGCUCAACCUGGGAAUGGCAGUGGAUACUGGCUCGCUAGAGUGUGUCAGAGGAUGGUGGAAUUCCCGGUGUAGCGGUGAAAUGCGUAGAGAUCUGGAGGAAUACCGGUGGCGAAGGCGGCCCCCUGGACAAAGACUGACGCUCAGGUGCGAAAGCGUGGGGAGCAAACAGGAUUAGAGACCCGUGUAGUCCCUGUCCUUAUACA
This 301-nucleotide ribosomal RNA is filed under the name uncultured bacterium. RNAcentral's name for it is "partial 16S ribosomal RNA". It matches the Rfam family "Bacterial small subunit ribosomal RNA", at positions 509 to 809 of the family's 1533-position model. The record is from RNAcentral.